AUUUCAAUGAGUAUAAGGUUUCAAGUCUAGCUAAAUUUGCGCUCACGACAUGCACAACGGAGGCAAGCGAUUGUGACGAACAAGUCUGCUUUCAGAAGAAUCCUUCAGAUUGUGUUACCUGUGCCUACACCAUGAUGGCAGACGUCUACGCUGACAUGAACAUUCCUGCUGCAAACGCCUUCUAAGCUGCGACAUGAAUUGAACCACGAAAGCUGCAUGGCAUGUUGAGCCUGUUAGAAGCAUUGGUGAAGCAUGGAGAAAGAAGGCCAGCUAGUGACGCUGCCCUCCUGCCACACGUUCUUUCCGCCGCUAAAUUUGUCGGAUGCUGACCAUCUCUUGAUCGGGUUAUAGGAGAUUAAAUUGUGUGAUUGCAUCUUUGUGGUUUGUCUGGUCAAUAAAUUAAUGGGGUGCAGACAUUUCCUCGCUUGCGUUUCCUACCAUAAGCACCAACACCUUAUAAUUUUGAAAAUGUCCCUUGGCAGUCGCUAUAAUUUGGAAUAGAUCUACUUAAUUACUUGUGGACAAAAAUAGUUGAUGGACGCUGCUUGUGUUACCGUGGUAGCGUCAUGGUUACGUGGUUAUGGGGUAGAUUACCUUAUCAUAAGCUGCCUCGUAUUCUUUUAAAAGGUAUAGAAGCAUGAUUUGUGACUUAACUGUAUUAGACGGUGUUAAAAACUUUACCUAAAUAGGUACGUUUUCUCUUAACUCUUUUUUUAGGGUACCUAGACAAAUCUAUUUUUGGUCAUCGAUGACGUAAUAAAAGAAAAAAA
This is a long non-coding RNA of Orbicella faveolata, 770 nucleotides long. RefSeq lists it as uncharacterized. The record is from RefSeq and is a predicted model, not a curated record. Lineage: Eukaryota; Metazoa; Cnidaria; Anthozoa; Scleractinia; Merulinidae.